UACGUAGGGGGCAAGCGUUGUCCGGAUUUAUUGGGCGUAAAGAGCGUGUAGGCGGCCCUGCAAGUCGGAUGUGAAAUCCCACGGCUCAACCGUGGAAGUGCAUUCGAAACUGCAGGGCUAGAGUCCUGGAGAGGAAGGUGGAAUGCUUGGUGUAGAGGUGAAAUUCGUAGAUAUCAAGCGGAACACCGGUGGCGAAGGCGGCCUUCUGGACAGUGACUGACGCUGAGACGCGAAAGCGUGGGGAGCAAACAGG
RNAcentral lists this ribosomal RNA (253 nucleotides) under uncultured bacterium. RNAcentral describes it as "partial 16S ribosomal RNA". It matches the Rfam family "Bacterial small subunit ribosomal RNA", at positions 524 to 776 of the family's 1533-position model. The record is from RNAcentral.